Molecule: ribosomal RNA, 794 nt
Filed under: Parachaetomium carinthiacum
Lineage: Eukaryota; Fungi; Ascomycota; Sordariomycetes; Sordariales; Chaetomiaceae
Description: LSU rRNA
Rfam family: Eukaryotic large subunit ribosomal RNA
Source: RNAcentral
AACUUAAGCAUAUCAAUAAGCGGAGGAAAAGAAACCAACAGGGAUUGCCCUAGUAACGGCGAGUGAAGCGGCAACAGCUCAAAUUUGAAAUCUGGCCUCGGCCCGAGUUGUAAUUUGCAGAGGAAGCUUUAGGCGCGGCACCUUCUGAGUCCCCUGGAACGGGGCGCCAUAGAGGGUGAGAGCCCCGUAUAGUUGGAUGCCUAGCCUGUGUAAAGCUCCUUCGACGAGUCGAGUAGUUUGGGAAUGCUGCUCAAAAUGGGAGGUAAAUUUCUUCUAAAGCUAAAUACCGGCCAGAGACCGAUAGCGCACAAGUAGAGUGAUCGAAAGAUGAAAAGCACUUUGAAAAGAGGGUUAAAUAGCACGUGAAAUUGUUGAAAGGGAAGCGCUUGUGACCAGACUUGCGCCGGGCUGAUCAUCCGGUGUUCUCACCGGUGCACUCGGCCCGGCUCAGGCCAGCAUCGGUUCUCGCGGGGGGAUAAAGGCCCUGGGAACGUAGCUCCUCCGGGAGUGUUAUAGCCCAGGGCGUAAUGCCCUCGCGGGGACCGAGGUUCGCGCAUCUGCAAGGAUGCUGGCGUAAUGGUCAUCAGCGACCCGUCUUGAAACACGGACCAAGGAGUCAAGGUUUUGCGCGAGUGUUUGGGUGUAAAACCCGCACGCGUAAUGAAAGUGAACGUAGGUGAGAGCUUCGGCGCAUCAUCGACCGAUCCUGAUGUUUUCGGAUGGAUUUGAGUAGGAGCGUUAAGCCUUGGACCCGAAAGAUGGUGAACUAUGCUUGGAUAGGGUAAGCCAGAGGA